UCCAUGAACAGCGCUACUGCCUGGAUGC
Molecule: small RNA, 28 nt
Filed under: Bombyx mori (domestic silkworm)
Lineage: Eukaryota; Metazoa; Arthropoda; Insecta; Lepidoptera; Bombycidae
Description: ovarian small RNA-26979
Source: RNAcentral